CGGAUCCAUAUUGAAACCUAGUGAUGUAUGGAUUAGUGGCGGACGGGUGAGUAACGCGUGGAUAACCUGCCGUAUACAGGGGGAUAACACUUAGAAAUAGGUGCUAAUACCGCAUAAGCGCACGGUUCCGCAUGGAACAGUGUGAAAAACUUCGGUGGUAUACGAUGGAUCCGCGUCUGAUUAGCCAGUUGGCGGGGUAACGGCCCACCAAAGCGACGAUCAGUAGCCGGCCUGAGAGGGUGAACGGCCACAUUGGGACUGAGACACGGCCCAAACUCCUACGGGAGGCAGCAGUGGGGAAUAUUGCACAAUGGGGGAAACCCUGAUGCAGCGACGCCGCGUGAGUGAAGAAGUAUUUCGGUACGUAAAGCUCUAUCAGCAGGGAAGAAAAGAAGUCCUUUGGAUUUUGGACGGUACCUGACAAGAAGCCCCGGCUAACUACGUGCCAGCAGCCGCGGUAAUACGUAGGGGGCAAGCGUUAUCCGGAUUUACUGGGUGUAAAGGGAGCGUAGACGGCAGCGCAAGUCUGGAGUGAAAUGCCGGGGCCCAACCCCGGAACUGCUUUGGAAACUGUGCAGCUCGAGUGCAGGAGAGGUAAGCGGAAUUCCUAGUGUAGCGGUGAAAUGCGUAGAUAUUAGGAGGAACACCAGUGGCGAAGGCGGCUUACUGGACUGUAACUGACGUUGAGGCUCGAAAGCGUGGGGAGCAAACAGGAUUAGAUACCCUGGUAGUCCACGCCGUAAACGAUGAUUACUAGGUGUCGGGGAGCCAAGGCUCUCCGGUGCCGC
RNAcentral lists this ribosomal RNA (788 nucleotides) under uncultured bacterium. RNAcentral describes it as "bacterial SSU rRNA". It matches the Rfam family "Bacterial small subunit ribosomal RNA", at positions 67 to 849 of the family's 1533-position model. The record is from RNAcentral.